UUCCUGAUGUUUAGUCGGAAUCUCCUUUCUUGAAACUUGAAGCCAUUGGUUCGAGUCUUGCCCUCUGGCGCAGGAGAAAAGCAGCUUGCUCCAUCUUCCAUGUGGCAGCCCUUGAGAUAUUUGAAGAUGGCUACCGUAUUUCCUUUCAGUCUCCUCUUUUCCGGGCUAAACAUGCCCAGUUCCCUCAACC
Molecule: non-coding RNA, 190 nt
Organism: Podarcis lilfordi (Lilford's wall lizard)
Lineage: Eukaryota; Metazoa; Chordata; Lepidosauria; Squamata; Lacertidae
Source: the annotation of a GenBank genome assembly